Amblyraja radiata (thorny skate) is the source of this 90-nucleotide long non-coding RNA. RefSeq lists it as uncharacterized. The transcript has 2 exons. The record is from RefSeq and is a predicted model, not a curated record. Lineage: Eukaryota; Metazoa; Chordata; Chondrichthyes; Rajiformes; Rajidae.
GCUUGCCCCAGGUCUGGCUGUUGCACCCAGGUUGCCUGCGUGCCCCGUGACUGGCUCCAGUUCCCAGGUCGCGAAAACUAAUUGGGGGAA